GCUGGGAUAGCUCAGUCAGCAGAGCGUGAGACUCUUAAUCUGAAGGUCACGGGUUCGAGCCCCACAUGGGGCA
This 73-nucleotide transfer RNA is filed under the name Podarcis lilfordi (Lilford's wall lizard). RNAcentral describes it as "tRNA.Lys". The record is from RNAcentral. Lineage: Eukaryota; Metazoa; Chordata; Lepidosauria; Squamata; Lacertidae.